Molecule: ribosomal RNA, 506 nt
Filed under: uncultured bacterium
Lineage: Bacteria
Description: partial 16S ribosomal RNA
Rfam family: Bacterial small subunit ribosomal RNA
Source: RNAcentral
AGUGAACGCUGGCGGUAGGCCUAACACAUGCAAGUCGAACGGCAGCACAGGAGAGCUUGCUCUCUGGGUGGCGAGUGGCGGACGGGUGAGGAAUACAUCGGAAUCUACUCUGUCGUGGGGGAUAACGUAGGGAAACUUACGCUAGUACCGCAUACGACCUACGGGUGAAAGCAGGGGAUCUUCGGACCUUGCGCGAUUGAAUGAGCCGAUGUCGGAUUAGCUAGUUGGCGGGGUAAAGGCCCACCAAGGCGACGAUCCGUAGCUGAUCUGAGAGGAUGAUCAGCCACACUGGAACUGAGACACGGUCCAGACUCCUACGGGAGGCAACAGUGGGGAAUAUUGGACAAUGGGCGCAAGCCUGAUCCAGCCAUACCGCGUGGGUGAAGAAGGCCUUCGGGUUGUAAAGCCCUUUUGUUGGGAAAGAAAUCCAGCUGGCUAAUACCCGGUUGGGAUGACGGUACCCAAAGAAUAAGCACCGGCUAACUUCGUGCCAGCCGCCGCCGUAA